Cavia porcellus (domestic guinea pig) is the source of this 9947-nucleotide long non-coding RNA. RefSeq lists it as uncharacterized. Lineage: Eukaryota; Metazoa; Chordata; Mammalia; Rodentia; Caviidae. The record is from RefSeq and is a predicted model, not a curated record. The transcript is spliced from 3 exons.
CGCCCUGCGGACGGAAGUGCCUUUCUCGAUGUGACAGGUGAACUCUGCACUCUUAAGAGGAAAGCUACUAAUUAGCAAGGCUUACCAAAAAUUUGGAAAUCUGAAUUAUCCUUGCGAUUGCUGUUACAGUACCCGAGGAGAGAGAAAAAGGUUCUGUAUAAAAAGGCUAACCUGAUAGCCAAGCUAAGAAGUCAAAAGGCAAGUAUCUUCCUUAUCCAAGAAUUAAAAGGCAACGUUUUGGAAAAGGGUCUGCUUUAGAAGGCACGAUAUAUCUUUAACUUACCUGUAAUAAAACUAAUAGUAAAAAACACAUAUUCUAUGACUGUAGUCUGAAAUUUGGACAAGGAUUAGAUUUAUAAACUAGUGCAAACUAAGAGUGAAACACAAGAACACAUCGGGAGUAGAACAGAACAGUACUGGAUCUUUGAAAUUGUUAGAGCACUCGCAAAUUAUAAUUAUUCUUAGCUGUUUACUAAAGCAUGAUCUCCAUGAAACUCCUCUGUAUAAGAUUUCUAAAACUUUUCUUCCUUCAGUAUAUCUUAAACUUCAGUUCUUACUAAACCCUGCCUUUUCCCUCCCCUUUCCUCCUCUCAACGUGGACUAGCCUGGAUUCUGCAAACUAUUUCCAUUUUCUACUAACUUUUGAAAGCACCGAGGGGAACUUUUUUUUUUUUACUGAGGAAUCUGGAAGGCAGCUUUAUUGAUCUUACGCCAGCGGGCUGGGGGACUAUAACAGAAUCCAAAUCCAAAUCACCAGCCAGAGAGUCAGCUCUGAGUUCAUUUAAAUACAGUUUGCAAGCAGGAAGUGCAAGGCGGGUGCCAGGUUAUCACCAUUGACAUGAAUUGAAAUAAGUAACCUAUUUUCAGGCAAGCUAAUUGUAAAUGAAUUUGCUUAAAAUGAAUCAUUUACCAUAAUAUCAGAACAUCCUGGAGACAAAGGGGAUUUGAGUGGAGCAAGCAAAGUUAAAGGUGUCUUUGCCUGCGUUAUUUUGUCCCAAACAAAAUCCUUGAAGCAAGUUGGGAACAAUAUAUAUUUAUUUAUUUAUUUAUUUUUAGGAAUGGAACUGACAACCUCAUGCUUGCCAGGCAGGUGCUUCUGCCACUGAGCUAAAUCCCUGGCCCAACAAUAUAUGUUCUUUUAACUAAGGGAAACAAGCUGGAGAUAGUCAAAUUGACCCAGCACAGUUAGAAACAAAGCAGCUGGACUCAGACAAUCAAGGCUGACUGGGUUUAGCAGGGAAGGGACAAAAUUUAGGCCUUUUCAAAGAAUUUAAGCAAAUUUGUUUUUCCAGUAACUACAGAAUUAGGAAUGUAAGGACUAGGAUAAAGCAUACUAGAGUAUAUUUAAUUCAUUGCAGAUAUCACAAAUGAGGGAAGACACAGAAUUAAGCAUGUGUUGACAGGAAUAACCAGACUUUUUCUUUUUCUCCAGAUUUCCCCAAAAUCUGAUGGAAUCAAAAUCCACUUUUUCAUGUGUGGGUUAAGAACAGCCUCAAGAACUCAUGUAAAUAAAAGACAAUACAACCAAGUCUUGUUUACUCAUUAGUCAUGUCCUGAUAUUAACAAGUAACUCUUAUGAGUUAGGACUAAGAAUCUCAUAGUUUUAGGUCUUUUGGAAAGGCAGAAGCAGUGCGUAGGGCAUAGGAGGCUGGGGUGGGCUACUGGCAAGUGGAGCUCAUGGGAGCAGAGUAUCAUCAGUACAGGUAAAGUCCGAAGUGGUAGAAAUGAUAAGCUUCCCAAUCAAAAUUCUCUCCAUGCUUACCUCCUUUUUAUUUUGCCACCCUUAAUUUUCACCAGAUAGGUGAUUUAGACGUUAACUUUGUAGAAAUCAACUAGUUUCUUUAGUAUAUCCGAAGAAGCCAGGUGUGUUGUUGGUGCACACCUGUAAUCCCAGCACUCCGGAGGCUGACGCAAGAGGGCUGCUUUGAAGUUCAAGACCAGCCUGGUCUACAAAGUGAAUUCAAAGCCUGUCAGAACUGCAUAGUGAAACUAUCUUAAAAAAAUUAAAUAUCCCAAGUUUUGGAAUUGAGUCAUCUAGUUGAAGGAUUUCCCUUGUCCUUCAGUAAAAUUUGCAAAUACUCUAAACAAAAAUGUUGCCACAAAUGGGCAGAUUUCUUAAAAAAAAAAAGUGUAUCUGCCAUACCUAACUAUGGCCCAGAUUAGGGAUUAACUAAGGACUGCUUUGAAUACCUUUCUUUGUAGCAACUUUCAGUCCUCUCUUGCAGUGAUACGGCUCCAAAGUAGGCCUCCAAAUGCUCUAUCUACCACUGAGCUAUCCCAGCUCAACUACGAAAUCCAGCUCUCAAAAUCAAGCAGUAACGAUUAUGUACAUACCCAGAUCCUUUAGACUCCUAGCAAUGUGUGAACGUGUAUGGUUAGACUGGAUAUGGGUGGCAAACGGACAUUUUUAAAAGAGACAAAACAUAUAACAUGUUAAUUGGACAAAUUUAAACUGAACUGUCCCCAGCAAACUUUAGUCACUUCCCAAGAGGACUCUCCUCAGAAUAACUUAAACCUUAGCAAAUUCUAUACUUGGUAGCUUACAGCCCAGCUUGUCUUGGCCUCUCUCAAAUCGUGAAAUUCUCUCCCACCACCACUAGUGGUCUCUGAGACUUCAUUUUCUCAAGUCUGUGGCUUUACCUUAAUGCUAUGCCCACAUAAUGGGUAAGACUCAUUUUUAUUACAGACCCUAUACUGGACUCUACUAUAGUUUCCUCAAGUUAUGCAGCUAUGAAUAAAUGUAAUUCUACUUUUUGCAAAAACGAGUGAUCACAUAAAUGACCCCAUAUUCAUUUGAGGUUAAACAAUGAUUCUCAAAUGGAAUGAAACAGGGAAACAGCCAUCCAAGGUGACUUAAUUUGUAAACCCUGCAACUUUAUACUACAGAUAAAACAAUACUGUGUGCAUAAAUAGCCUGUGUUUUGCUUCACUAUGUUUGUUUUCAGAAAAAAAUUCCUGGUCGAUGGAACUUCCAAAAUAAGAAAAAAAGAAAAAAAAAAAGGCUGAGGGCUGGACAUUUAGCUCAGUGGCAAGCAGGUGGUCUUAAGUUUGAUCCCCAGUAUAAAAAAAGAAGGAUGAGUAAUGGAAUGAAGAAAUACAUGAUCUUUUUUCUCCUACCCAUCUGUCAUUUAAACUGAAGGAAUGGAUAGUGUUCUUCUCAUGCCACAGAACGUGUGAAAAUGAAAAAUUCAUUUACUACCCAGAGGUACCCACUAGCAUCUACAUCAGUUACACAUAUCUGAUAAAAACUUUAAAAUCUACCACAAUAUACAGGACAUUUUGGGUAUAUGUUAAAUACUUGGGGUUCAUUAUACAUUAGCAUGUAGAAUCUAUCCAUUAAUUUUUGUUUGUCUGUACUAGGGACCAAACUCGCGACUGUGCACUUGCAAGGCAGGCGCUUAUGCAGCUGAGCUAAAUCCCCGGCCCUUCCAUUAAUUUUUCUAACCUGUUACGUAACAGAUCUCUGCCAUGACAGUAUUUGCUUUUGUUAACUUCAGGUCAUAUUAUGUCUUUUGAAAGGUAACUACAUUUAAAACACUCAAUUGGGACCCUUGCUUUGAUAGCUGUUAAUCAUGGCAUCAAACAUGAAACAAUGACUUUGUAUUUUCCUUCAUCAAGCAUACAGAAAAGCAUAUUCCUUCAUUCUUAGUUUCUAUCCAAUGCCUCCUGUUUACAAGGCACUCACCCACAGCCUGAAUUACAAAGGAUCCUUAGAACCAUCCCAAAUCAACAUCAGAAUACUUGCAAAAACCACAGAGUGGUCAAAAUGACUUGAGAAGGAAACUCAAGAAAUAGAAUAAAGGGAGCUAUUUAUGGAAUGAUACUCCUUUAGGAAGUGGCAGAUUCAAUCCAGAGGCUGCUUUUCAGCAUCAACACCUCUAUGUACACUUGAAUUGAAACGUUUUAGUUAUUAAUAAAAUCACUUGCAUAAUUUUAGCCUGUGUGGUUGCAAAUGACUGAUUAUAUAGAUUUCUAGUGCCAGGCAGGGAAGAUUGUUUGGGCUAAAGGGCUAUACAUGCAUGUGUACACUGUAAGCAACUUACAACUAGUGGAGUCAUUUUAAGGGUGGUGAUGUGGAGGAAAUCAGGAAGAAUAUGCCCAACAAAAGGGACCAUGACUAGGCGAAAUCUACUUUUGGAGUUUGAAGUACAGAAUUGCCACAAAACAAAUGACUAACUUAAGACAGACUCCAGGCCUCCUCCUCUCUCUUGAGCAGCCAGUAUUGUGACCUUGGAACAAAGUAACUUCUAAGUUUGUAUUUAGUCAUUUAUGAUAUAAUGGUAAUUAUCCACAUCACAAACAGCUGUGAGAUUAAGUCUUGCUUGGCACAUAACAGAUGCUCACAUAAACAAGGUGCUUUUAUCUAACCUGUAGGAAAUUUAAAUCGGGUGUCUUUGUCUAUCCUUAGCUGAAAUAAAAUGGAACUUCUUCUGGCCUUCUUAUUCCAAGGUUACAGAUGCAUUUUAUGUUCAAAAGCAACCCAAUUCUCUGUCUAAAUUGUAUUUCUAAUGCUCAAGGUACCCAUUCUAAUAACCUAUUCUUUUUUAACAAUAAAGCAUGUUAUGGAAGUGUUUUUAUAUCUUACUGUAUCAUCUUCAAUUAUUAGCCUUCGAUUACUUUUAACAUUUUUAAAAAAUUAACUUUUGAUGACAGAAAAACCAGCACAACUUAGCAGAUACAUAAUCUGUUCACUCAACAAUUGAAGAAAAUAGCCUGACUAAUCCAGGAUAUCAACAUAUUUCAUUUGAAGCUUUCAUUUACAGGUAUAUCUAUCUGCAAAUGAGCAAACUUUGGAAGGUAGAAGGUAGCAUACAGUAAAUAAAUUAAAUGCAAACCACACCCCUUUGUUUACUGAAGAUCUUAGACAUCAAUUUCUUAUUUACAUAAAAAUCCAACCCCUAGCAAUUAUCAGUUGGACAUUUUUCACAAAACUAACCACUGAAAAAUCUCUUGAUCCAAGGAAAAUCUUUUUAUAAUGCAUCCUCAAGUGGGGGAUCAAAUAGCUGAAAUGUUUAUUUAGCACUAGAGAAAUAAACUCCAAGUUGCCUGUAAGUAGCUAUUUACAAUAAAGGAUUUAGUUGACAGUCUUGUUGAUAAAAUAUACUUAGGACAUAUUUUUUCUUAGAAUCAGCAGCAACUGGUAGUAAUUCAGGUUUAUUAUGGGACAAUUGCUUUUUUUCUUCUGUGACAAUAAAGCUGAAAAUGACCCAGAGUCCAACUUUAUCUGAUAUGUGGAAGAAACAAUUCUAGGACAAGAGUUUUCAAAAGCAGUGCUACUGACAGAGGCAAUAAUUAAAAAGGGUCUUGACAAGAACAGCAAGCGCUGCAUCCGUCAUCUUUAUCUUCCCCGGUGUUUCUCCAUCCAGCCAUAUCUACUUGCUGAUCCUUCAGACACCAGGUGCCUUCACAAGUUCUCUGAAUGAUUUUUGCCCACCAAAGUUCUCAUUACAAAGACAUACUUUGAAAUUUUGAAGGGAGGGGUGAAAAAAAGGGAAGGAAAAACAAAGCCACAUUCCCUCAAUAAAUAUAUGAAGCCACAAGAUUUCUUGUGUUGAAACUGACAUGUUCUUGUAUGAGAAACACCUUGAGAUAAAAGUACUCAAUAAACUAAUAAAUUGAGAAAUUAUUAGGGUAUGAAAAACAGAAUUUAUAGUUCCCUCUUACAGUGCCAUUUCUACAAAAGACUGCUUUACCAGUAUCAAGCUCCAGCACAUAUGAAUUAUGCUGGAUCUAACUUCAAUCAAUUUUAAUUUUUAUACUUAAAAAAGCAUUUUAUUAUAAACACAAAAGGUUUACUUCAGAUGUUAAGGUUCAUGAACUUCUAUGACCAGGAGCAAGAUAAAUUCUUCUGUUUUAGACAAAAUAGAUCACAUAAGUUAAGUAGACUUUGUUUUAAUUCAUUCAUUGAGAUUCCUGUAAUUGCCAACAAAAAUUCCCACUAUAUGCUAUUCUUACUAAUGUGGGGAGACAAUGUUGUGUGCUUUAUAGUUUUACCCAAAUUGAUUCAUAAAAUGAAAAAAAUUAAUAGAAGGUACAUAAUUUAAAACAUUCUAUAGAAAUGACACAUUACCAGUAAUUUACAAUUUAAAAAAAAAAUCAGCCACAAAAAAGGUCAAAGCUAAAAACAAGAUUUUUACUAUGAAUCAGUGCUCUAUUACCCUUCUGAAAGAAGUUAUACUUUAAUGUGAUGUAAAGGCAACAUUGAAAGUUCUUUAAAUUAACCACCUAAUUUAUCCCUAAAGUUACAAAGAAUCAAAGUCUUUUACAGGUCAAGUGCGGUAAACUAAAAUGUUCUCUCAGCACAAAGCAGCACUAGAAAAAAUAACAGUAUGGAUUGGAGUUGACAAGUUUUGCAGUGGCUGCUCCAUCAAUAACAAUAAACAUCAGACAGUAUCCAUCCCAGAGCACAGACACUAGACUAGAAGCGAAGAAUGCAUCACACUCUUGGCUGAUAAAUAUCCUUUGUCUUUGAAUCUACUUUGAAUGAAGUGAAUUUUUUAAAGAAGUGUAAAUCAGGUCACAUAAGUUGGCUGCUUAAAUAUCAUGAUGAGGUAUGAAAGCUCUGAAUAUCCCCUACAUUCAGCAGGAUUUACCAGAGACGAAUAAUAGCUUGUCAGGGGCAACUCCAGAUAGUUUUUACUUUGGGAUUACAACGAAUUCUAGAAGAGUGUAAGUUCUAAGGAAGUUUAAAAGGAUAUGCUCUGAAACAGAAGUGAGCAACUUUUCCUUCAGAAUUCAUUUUGAACAGAACAUCAUCAAAAUAUCUUCUCUGUCAGUAUCCCAACAUUGAAUCAUGAUGGCCAACUAGCACCGAGAAGUCGUAUUGAACUCAUUUGCAGUUCUCUUGGCAAUUAAGCUUAUUUUUUCAUUCCAGUCCAAGCACAAAUGUGGAUCAGUGAACAGAGUACUGGAAGCGCCAUUUGCAUGUACAGAUUGCAGUCACCAUUAAAUGAGCCAGAAGGUGGACACUGGUUUUAUUGGGGUGUGGUAGGGCACUAGCAUUAAAAAAAAAUGAUGAGGAAACCAUGAGGUUAGGAGAAAAAGAUCACUGCCCUUAUGUGGGGUAAGCAGGUCAUACUGAGAUUUGAUUUUUAAAGAUAAGGAAGCUAUGUUACAGGGAUCAAAUACGCAGUACAACUAUAUUAGAAUCAAGCUGCACCUAAGGGGGAAAAACCAGUAAGUAACUUUAAAAGUGUUAUCUGCCAUUCUGAGGAGAAAAGCACCUAGGGUAAACUCCAAUUCACUGAGGACCUUGAUCAGGACCACAAAGCCUGAAACAUUGUUCUAUAUUGCAGAAACACAGCCUCUCAUCACACUGGUUGAGUCUGGGAAAAUUGGAGGGUUUGUUUUUCUUAUUUUAAAACUGAAUUACAAGAUAGGUGUGUUUAGGCUAAAGACUAAAUCUUCAUACCAGCACUGGAACUGAACCACUUCCAAAUCCUAAGACACAUAAGACCAAAGAGAAGCAAAAGCCAUACACAUUAAUAUGUGCUCCUCUCCUUUCCGCUUUAAAGGAUCUGCAAACCAGUAUUACAUUUAAGAGUUAAAAGUGUUAAUUCCUCAGCAUUCCCGACAACUAGAAAGCACAUUCACUGAAGGCUGAAGGUGAGGGAGUGGAUGGUUUAACUUUUAACAUCUGAAGAAUGGUGCCAAUAGAGAAAAGAAAACCAUCCAAUCUCAGUAAGGAUUAAUGCAAAUUUGGCUAGAAAAGCCACCAGGUAAUCCAAGGAUUCACUGUGGAAGAACUCAUGAAAGUACUCUGAAGUAUACACAACAGGUCUAAACAUCUCCCUUGUCGCAAGUAGUUAUGUGAAAUUCAAGAUGAAGGUUUAGUUUUAUAUUUUAAUGUCAGUAUUUUUUCCCUCACUUUAAAGGGAUUGAGGAAGAGUCCUCUUUUUCGCCACAAAAAGGGAGCCACAUUAGUAUGUGUAUAUUCCCACGACUCUAACGUAAGUGCGGAUCUCCAAAGCCUAGGGAUUUUUCCGUAAGAGUGGGCCGUUCUGGUUACUCUUUUGUUACAAUGGUAUUCCACCAUGGAGAGCCAGAGGUUUUCCAGGUGUGUGUAAGAGAGCAGGUGCGCAAGGCAAGCAAAUGAGCGCAAACAGUAUUAUGGAAAACAUUCGAGAAGUUAGCUCCAUGAGGACUCUGGGCUCCACACGAGAACGCGACUGCGUAGCCUGGUCUGACACGGGAACACGAAAGCAGAGUAUUGCUUCAAAGCUGGAACCCUUCCAUAGGAGCCUCGCACUGCUGGAAGAUGUACUGCUGCUGGCUAAGGUCAACCUGUGGAGCAAUGCUGCUGUCUUCAUCUUCGGUCCCAAAGUAAUGCUCAAUAAGAUCAAAGGCCUUCUGGUAGAUCUCCUGGUUUUCAUGACUCUGUAGGAACUCAAUUUUAUCCAGACCUAGAAUGAAGAAUAAAGGAAAAUCUUUAUUGGAGAGUCUCAUAAGCUUUUUAUCACAGGUGUCCUUCCUGGAUGUAAACAAGGCUUCUCUAUUUAUAAUAGUAUAAAAAUGACUUCCAGGACUGUAUCUGAAAAUAGUACAGUGGCAUCUCAGUUUAUGAAUUUAAGUCUUUGUCAGGUUCUGGAAAAGAUGACCAUUUGUGUUCAUGCAGGAAAGAUGGCUGUAAACAUAAUGUAGAGUUCACAAAGACAAAAUUUCCCCAAGUACUUCAGUUUGCAGACCAAACUGUUCAAAAACAAAAGCAUCUGAACGAAGCUACCACUGUAUUAUGAACUGCCAUUUUAAACACACAUGAGAGACUAUCCAGUCCACAGAAGGAGCAACUUCCGUAACAACUGCCACAUCAUCCACUGUCUUGUGUGUUUUCCUGGACUGUAUUUAGGACCUAAUUAAUCUUUGACCAUAAGUUUCUUCAAAGCAUCUUACCAUAAGCUUCUUCAAUCAAAGCGCAGUAAGGGUUAAUGCCAGUGCCAUUCCUUUUGGCUUCCUGUUCUCCAAGCCUCAGGAUAUUUUCCAAGCCAUUUAAGGCAACCUGUACAAUCUUAGAGUCCAUGACAGUGAGAAGAUCACAGAGAGGCUUGAUACAACCCAGUUCUACCAGGUACCUAAAUUAAUACAAAAAAAAUUAGGCAAAUGAAAUUUUUAAUUAUGGAAAGCUUUCAUGAAACUGGUCAAGAGUCAUCCUAAAAUUCAUUAUACAGAGAAAAAUAGGUAACCAGUCAACUCUACAAACUACACCUUAUUAAAAAAAGCUACGAAAAAUUAAAACCCAUUUUCUAAUAACAUAUCCAUUCUUUUUUCCCUUCACAGGUUUUUGAUUUUCAAAAAAUGGAAAAUUUGGGAGCUGGGGAUUUAGCUCAGUGGCACAAGCGCCUGCCUUGCAAGCAGGAAGUCGUGAGUUCAAUCCCUGGUACCGAUGAAAAGGAAAAAGACAAACAAACAAAAAAUGAAAAAUGUUCUCCAUUCUUAGUAUCAACAAUCCCUGUUCUUUGGCUAGAUUGAUAUCACUUGUUUCAACAGAAAGCCACACGUUAAAGUCUCCUAAAAGCCAGCACAAACCCAAGAGGCCAAAUCUUUCAAAUGUGUAUCAGGCAACUACAAGAGAGCAAGAUGCUGGUGAAAACUAUUAGGAAUGACCGAAGCCCACAGGAGGAUGCCAAAUGCUGACAACCAUGCGGGCAGCAGGACUCACUCACUGCACUAGCGAUGCCCAAGAAGACACCACCUCAGAAGAUGGACUGGCAGCUUCUUAAUACACGUCUUUAUCAGUGACCAAAUCAAUUUAUUUUCUGUAAUUUAUGAUUUUUGCAAUUAUCUUAAGUUAUUUUUCCACCUAGCUAAGAAGAAAAUGGUAAAAGACUGAUAAUUCAUUUGGCAAAUUUUACAAAAUUCAUAUGGCAAAUUUUAUAAAAGGAAUGUAACAAUUGCCUAACAAAGCAAAAUAUACCCGAAUAUAUUAAAUUUUAAAAAUUUUUAAAAAGAAA